This 450-nucleotide ribosomal RNA is filed under the name uncultured bacterium. RNAcentral describes it as "bacterial SSU rRNA". It matches the Rfam family "Bacterial small subunit ribosomal RNA", at positions 330 to 794 of the family's 1533-position model. The record is from RNAcentral.
GCCAGACUCCUACGGGAGGCAGCAGUGGGGAAUAUUGGGCAAUGGGCGCAAGCCUGACCCAGCAACGCCGCGUGAAGGAAGAAGGCUUUCGGGUUGUAAACUUCUUUUGUCAGGGACGAAGCAAGUGACGGUACCUGACGAAUAAGCCACGGCUAACUACGUGCCAGCAGCCGCGGUAAUACGUAGGUGGCAAGCGUUAUCCGGAUUUAUUGGGUGUAAAGGGAGCGUAGACGGCCAGACAAGUCUGAAGUGAAAAUCCAGCGCUUAACGUUGGAAGUGCUUUGGAAACUGCCGGGCUGGAGUGCAGGAGGGGCAGGCGGAAUUCCUAGUGUAGCGGUGAAAUGCGUAGAUAUUAGGAGGAACACCAGUGGCGAAGGCGGCCUGCUGGACUGCAACUGACGUUGAGGCUCGAAGGCGUGGGGAGCAAACAGGAUUAGAUACCCGCGUAGG